GCAGUGGUGGUGAAGUGGUAGAAUUCUUGCCUUCCAUGCAGGAGACCGGAGUUCAAUUCCCUGCCAAUGCA
This 71-nucleotide transfer RNA is filed under the name Loxodonta africana (African savanna elephant). It matches the Rfam family "tRNA". Rfam says of the family: Transfer RNA (tRNA) molecules are approximately 80 nucleotides in length. The record is from Rfam by way of RNAcentral. Lineage: Eukaryota; Metazoa; Chordata; Mammalia; Proboscidea; Elephantidae.